RNAcentral lists this ribosomal RNA (484 nucleotides) under uncultured bacterium. Its description in RNAcentral is "partial 16S ribosomal RNA". It matches the Rfam family "Bacterial small subunit ribosomal RNA", at positions 30 to 507 of the family's 1533-position model. The record is from RNAcentral.
AUUGAACGCUGGCGGCAGGCCUAACACAUGCAAGUCGAGCGGAUGAAGGGAGCUUGCUUCUGGUUUCAGCGUCGGACGGGUGAGUAAAACCUAUGAAUCUGCUUGCUUGUGGUUUAUAACGUCCGGAAGCGGGCGCUAAUACUGCAUACUUCCUGAGGGAGCAGGAGGGUGAUCUUCGGACCGUAUCCUAGCAGAUGAGCGUAGGUCGGAUUAGAUAGUUGGUGGGGUAAGGACCUACCAAGCCGACCAACCGUAACUGGUCUGAGAGAAUGAUCAGUCACACGGGAACUGAACCACGGUCAAGACUACUAAGAGAGGCAGCAGUGGGGAAUAGUGGACAAUAGGCGAAAGCCUGAUCCAGCGAUGCCGCGUGUGUGAAGAAGGUCUUCGGAUUGUAAAGCACUUUAAGUUGGGAGGAAGGGCAGUAAGUUAAUACCUUGCUGUUUUGACGUUACCAACAGAAGAAGCACCGGCUAACUUCGUG